GCAUGGCUGAAUACUGUGUUCUUUAGUCAGUAAUUUACACAGCCAGACACCAUGCAAAAGUAAAGUCUUCUUUUAAAAUGAUUGGUAUGCUGUUUUUUUUAAAUGGUAUAUCAUUACUAAAAGUAAGUACAAAU
Molecule: small nucleolar RNA, 134 nt
Organism: Phodopus roborovskii (desert hamster)
Lineage: Eukaryota; Metazoa; Chordata; Mammalia; Rodentia; Cricetidae
Product: small nucleolar RNA SNORA15
Exons: 1
Source: RefSeq, a predicted model, not a curated record